Molecule: ribosomal RNA, 492 nt
Filed under: uncultured bacterium
Lineage: Bacteria
Description: partial 16S ribosomal RNA
Rfam family: Bacterial small subunit ribosomal RNA
Source: RNAcentral
GAUGAACGCUGGCGGCGUGCCUAACACAUGCAAGUCGAACGAACACACGAUGAGCUCGUGCUCUUAAGGUUAGCGGGGGACGGGCGGGUAAGGAGUGCAUAAGCAUCUACUAAGUCGGGGAGAAUAACGUAAAACCGGUGCUAAUACUAGAUCAUAUAAUCUACCGCUGAGUGCAAUAGAUCAUCGCACCUUGCGCGUUUGUAUGAGCUGAUGUCGGAUUAGCUAGUUGGCUGGGUAACGGCACACCAAGGCAACGAUGCGUAGCUGACCUGAGAGGAUGAUCGGCCACACUGGAACUGAGACACGGUCCAGACUCCUACGGGAGGCAGCAGUAGGGAAUCUUCCGCAAUGGGCGAAAGCCUGACGGAGCAACACCGCGUGAGUGAUGAAGGCCUUCGGGUCGUAAAGCUCUGUUAUUGGGAAAGAACAGAUGUGUAAGUAACUACGCACGUCUUGACGGUACCUAAUCAGAAAGCAACGGCUAACUACGUG